AAGGCUAAAUACUACUCAGUGACCGAUAGCGAUUAGUACUGUGAAGGAAAGGUGAAAAGGACCCCGGGAGGGGAGUGAAAGAGAACCUGAAACCCUGUGUUUACAAACUGUGGAACAGCGCAAGCUGAACCGCGUACUUUUUGUAGAACGGUCCGGCGAGUUAUAGUUACUGGCAAGGUUAAGGACUUAAGGUCCGGAGCCGAAGCGAGAGCGAGUCUGAAUAGGGCGCAAAGUCAGUAGAUAUAGACCCGAAACCGGGUGACCUAUCCAUGUCCAGGAUGAAGCUAAAGUAAAAUUUGGUGGAGGUCCGAACGCACAUCCGUUGAAAAGGGUGGCGAUGAGGUGUGGAUAGCGGAGAAAUUCCAAUCGAACCCGGAGAUAGCUGGUUCUCCUCGAAAUAGCUUUAGGGCUAGCCUCGCUGAUAAGUCUUUCGCAGGUAGAGCACUGAAUUCUUGAGGGGGCGUCAAAGUCUACCAAGAGAUAUCAAACUCCGAAUGGCGGUAAGAUAUAAGCGGGAGUCAGACUGCGGGAUAUAAAUUCCGUAGUCAAAAGGGAAACAGCCCAGAUCUACAGCUAAGGUCCCAAAGUACAUGUUAAGUGGUAAAGGAUGUGGGAUUUCAUAGACAACUAGGAUGUUGGCUUAGAAGCAGCCACACAUUCAAAGAGUGCGUAAUAGCUCACUAGUCGAGAGGUCCUGCGCCGAAAAUUAACGGGGCUAAAACAUGACACCGAAGCUUAGGGAUGGUGUAAACCAUCGGUAGAGGAGCAUUGAAAACGAGAUGAAGCGGUACCGAAAGGAGCCGUGGAUUGUUUUGAAGAGAGAAUGCCGGAAUGAGUAGCGAGAUGGAGGUGAGAAUCCUCCAGGCCGAAUAUCUAAGGUUUCCAGGGUAAAGCUGAUCUGCCCUGGGUAAGUCGGGGCCUAAGGCGAGGCUGAGAAGCGUAGUCGAUGGACAACUGGUGUAGAUUCCAGUACCUUACUAAAUCAGAAAUGUGGGGACACAUGGAGAAAGAGAGAGCCGGGAAUGAGAAGACCGGUGCAAGGGAGGUAGGAGUGUAGUAGGAAAAACCGCUACACAAUCUGAAGACCUGAUGCGGAUCGAAAAGAAGUAGAGAAGCUCUUGGACUCUGUGGCGAGAAAAGCCGCUAUUGUGUUUAGUAAGCCCGUACCGCAAACCGACACAGGUAGAUGAGGAGAGAAUCCUAAGGCCGGCGGGAGAAGCAUUGUUAAGGAACUCGGCAAAAUGACCCCGUAACUUCGGGAGAAGGGGUGCCAUCCUCCGGGAUGGCCACAGAAAAUAGGCUCAAGCAACUGUUUAGCAAAAACACAGGUCUAUGCGAAACCGAAAGGUGAGGUAUAUGGGCUGACGCCUGCCCGGUGCUGGAAGGUUAAGAGGAGAGGUUAGCGCAAGCGAAGCUUUGAAUUGAAGCCCCAGUAAACGGCGGCCGUAACUAUAACGGUCCUAAGGUAGCGAAAUUCCUUGUCGGGUAAGUUCCGACCCGCACGAAAGGCGUAAUGAUUUGAGCGCUGUCUCAACAAUGCACCCGGUGAAAUUGAAGUACCAGUGAAGAUGCUGGUUACCCGCGCCAGGACGGAAAGACCCCAUGGAGCUUUACUCCAGCUUGAUACUGGGAUUCGGUAAUGUAUGCACAGGAUAGGUGGGAGACGAAGAAGAUAGUACUUCGGUAUUAUCAGAGUCGCUGUUGGGAUACCACCCUUAUGUUAUUGGAUUUCUAACCUUAGGCCGUAAGCCGGUCAAGGGACAAUGUCAGGUGGGGAGUUUGACUGGGGCGGUCGCCUCCGAAAGUGUAUCGGAGGCGCUCAAAGGUUCCCUCAGGAUGGUUGGAAACCAUCCAAAGAGUGUAAAGGCAUAAGGGAGCUUGACUGCGAGGGCGACGGUCCGAGCAGAGUAGAAAUACGGACUUAGUGAUCCGGUGGUAUGAAAGUGGGAUUGCCAUCGCUCAACGGAUAAAAGCUACCCUGGGGAUAACAGGCUGAUCUCCCCCAAGAGUUCACAUCGACGGGGAGGUUUGGCACCUCGAUGUCGGCUC
Molecule: ribosomal RNA, 2049 nt
Filed under: human metagenome
Description: bacterial LSU rRNA
Rfam family: Bacterial large subunit ribosomal RNA
Source: RNAcentral